Diorhabda carinulata is the source of this 7339-nucleotide long non-coding RNA. RefSeq lists it as uncharacterized. Lineage: Eukaryota; Metazoa; Arthropoda; Insecta; Coleoptera; Chrysomelidae. The transcript is spliced from 2 exons. The record is from RefSeq and is a predicted model, not a curated record.
AAUAAGUUUUUGGGAAAGUCUCAGAUCUUAAUAUGUAGAAGAAAAAAAGUUUUCAAGAUUCUCAUAGCGAAUUAUUCUUGUUUUUAUAUUUGGUUGCAUAAAAUUUUGUUGGCAUACAUGAAAGUUUAUAAUUUUUAAUGUUGAAUAUUAAUAUAAAGUUUAAUGAACGUAUUUUAUAUAAUAUUUAUGCAAUAAACUAAAAUAGAUUUUUUAACAUUAAAAACAAAAUAUAAUUUUUAAAUAAUGCAUCUGUUGAAAAAUAUCUCAAAAUAGUCUCGAAACAUACUUCCAAAUAAAAAUUCGAGGCAUGCCGCUAGAGGAAAUUGUUUUCUAUAUAUGUGAUGAUUUGUGUGUUUACUUGUUUUCUUACGACAAUGCCAACAAUCGGCUGAGUGGAAGUUUAGAAAGUGAAUGAAAGAUAGAAAUGUUUUUAAGUUUGAAUACGUUAUAAACUUGUCUACAACUUACUUGUUGUCAUAAAGUUACCAAUAAUUCGAAAAGAUAUAUUGAAAUUUCAACUUGCAAUGAUGCGUGUGAUAUUGAUCAUAAAAAAUAUAUUUUUUGGUUGUAUUCUUACAUAUAUCGGAGAUGGCAAAUUGUUUCAUUCAAUUUCGGGGGAAUAGCAAACAUUGAAAAACGAAAUGGAAAGCUCUCUCAAACGGAGCUCGGACGUAAACGAUGAUGCGCCACAGAAGAAAAAGAUUCCCCGUUCGGAAACUUCACUGCCCUUUGAUUGGUAUACCAAUUGUUUUUUCUGUGGAGCAAGGAGCAAAUCCGAAAAAAGGUAUCAAAGGUAUCAAAUUAUCAUUUGUUUCCGCAGCCAAAAGUAGUACAAUUAAAACAAAGAUUCUCGACGCAGCAAAAAUUAGAAAAGAUACUGUCAUUGAAAAUCGAUUUAACUCUGAAGGUUUGAAUUUUGAUUUGCACACAGCAAAAGCACAUUAUCACAUAAAGUGCUAUCAAGAUUAUAUUUCGGCAAAAGCACUCAAUGCCUUCCAAAAUAAAUCCUUACAUAAUUUAUUACACCUUUUUUACUUUCUAUUUGGGUUAUUAAUUAUUUAAAUUAUACUCAGCAUAUUCUAAUGAAGGAAAUGAAUUUUAUAACUAACUAUAAAAACAUCUCCAUAGAGCUCCAUAAAACCAUAACGAAUUAAACUGCGAGGAUUUUUACACGCGCUACUCGAGCGGCAUGACGACGCGGAGUCGAAACUCGCAUCUUGAAAUCGUUGUAACUUUUUUUCUUCUGCAUAUUAAGAUGAGACUUUCCCAAAAACUUAUUCACGCCAUUAAUUUUAGUACCAUGCAUUCAGAAGUAGUAAAUUUUAAACUUCCUCACUCAACUUUUUCAAUCGUAUGCACAAAGUCGGGAGAGCCUAAAAAAAUUUUCCGGAAUUUUCUAUACAGCCGGAAAAUUUUGGGGGGGGGAUUCGGAUAUAUUUAUUUACUUUUUGGAUUGGUUCAAGGAUAUGCCAAAAAAAUUUCAUGAAAAAAUAUUCAUUAUUCGCCAAAAUACAGCGAGUAGAACAGCAAAAAUCACGAAUUCAUUUUUUCCAGAUUUUCGACUUAAAACUCGAUUUUGAUUAUGUUCCCCCAACUUUGGAGGAAAAUAAAUGUCAUAUUCGUAUUCAGCACCGUCGAAAAUAUAAAGAUCAAUGGUUUUUAGCGACUAGAACGCGAUUGGUCGGUACAUGAAAAAAAAUGUAUAUAUUGUAUUCUUCGUUGUGGUUCGAACUCCAACCUGGCAGUUGUAUAACAGCGAAUAUAAAGAAUAAAAUCCCCACAAAUUUACUAGAAUUGACUUUGAUUCAAACUGCAGUGUAGAUAGGUAGAGGUCGAUUCGAUUUCUCGAAAGUCGAUAACACAAUAAUUUCUUGAAAAACCUCAAUUUUAUAAUAGAUAAAUUAGAAGUGACUACUGUGCCACGGUACGUGAACAAAGGAAUAUUCAAAAUGAUUGAGGUUUUGUCAACUUUUCUCUUUGCCAUGCGCCAGAUAUAUCAAUUAUAAAUGUACGUAAAGUACAUAAAGUAUGUUUCUUUACGCACUAGUAUCUGAUGUAAAGGGGGUCAUGACCCCCCCUAAACCCUGAUUAAGUAACUUGGUUUUUUGUUUCUUCUAAAAGGGCGUAAGUAGGAAUAUGUGAAAAUACGAAUUAUAUGAUUAAAUAUGAUUCAAAGUCGAUGAGGAAUUGAGGAUUAAAGUGAAAAUUGCGUAAAAUUCGUCAUUAAGCUGUGAAAAACAAGGUAAUUAACUUAUAUUGUGUUGGUAAAAGGCUUAAAAUACCAUGUCUUUGGGGGAGGACUCGACUUAAUACUAAUGACCCCCGUUUGUCAAUACCCUGGAUCCGCCCUUGGUCUAAAGUACUUUCUUCACGCACGGCACCUAGUAGAAAAACGUUUUUUUAUGACCUCGCCAACGAAGUGGAAUAAUCACCAAAUACAUCAAUUUCAACAUUAUAAAGAAUUUCAAAACAAGCGAAAUUUCUGAUAGUCUUUUUCGUAAGCAAAUUAUUUAUGGCCACUUUACGUAACUCUAGAGGUGCGCAAUUAAUUUCUUUGCCUUGAUCUUCAUCCAUUUUCUUGAAUUAUUUUAUAUUUGACGUGUCAACAAAUGAAAUAUAAAACUUUCAAUUGUUAAUCUAGUUUGUUUUAACAGUGUUACCACCUAAAUAUAAUUACCACAAUUUUCCUAUCAUAAUGUUCAAACAAUAAUUUAAAAUAGAAAAUAGUGGCGAAAUAGAAAAAAAAUCGUAUCACACUUGUUUUAUAAGACAACUUUGUCGCACUCGUUGCUUUAUACUCUAAAAAACGCUUGCGACAAAAUUGGAUCUUACAAAUAAUAAAUAACUAUUAUCGAGUAUUCUAGAGGAAAUAUUGAUGAUGGAACAUUAUACAUGAUAUAUUUAAUUAACUUAUUUUCAUAAAAAAUUCCAGUGCUAAUGUGUCCAAAUCCAAGUUCAAGUAUUAUAAACUAUGAUUGUUAUAGAAAUCUUAACACAAUCACUGUGAUAUAUGUUUAAAUAAGAAUAUAUGUAUAUUCUCUAUUAUAUUAAAUAUUCCCUUGUAUAAUAUGCAACGCGUUUCGUUAGUAGUGACGUCACAUCGCCAUUUUUAGAUGUUUGGGUUCAAAAAAAACUUCUUCUAAUGUUUGUUCUUAGUAGCUGCACUGGUACUAGUACAGACCAGUUCAUGAAUGUAUAGAAUUAGUUCGGAACGAAUACAAAGAACGAUAUAGUGCAGAGAGCAAUGAAGCAUUUGUUGAUUGUUGUAUUUGAAGUUAUUUGAUGUGAUUCAGGCCAUGUAGUAUUAACAAUAAUGGAAAACGAUUUAGUAUUUUUUGAUAUUUUACAUUUGUCUGAUGGCGAAGAUGUAAUGCUCCCGUUUUCAGAUUACUCUUAUUGCACUGCAUUGGCUGAACUGACAGUACAGUGAAUUGGGUGAACUAGUUCUCUUGUACUGCUACUGAGAACAGCGACACUAGCGCUGCUUCUGCUACAAACAACGCUUUGGUGUACACUUCCUGAACUAGUUAUAUCAGUGCAACUAACAAAAACAAACCUCUACAGUUAAUCAGUUUAUUUCACAAUAAACUAUUUGAGGUUAAGUUAUUUUAUACUUGUUUUUGACUUAUUCUAAAUUUAUAUCCAAUAAUAAACUACCUUAAACCUCUUAAUUAAAUAAAAUAAUAAAUAUUAGCCUUGUAUUCUUUUUUCUAAAAUUGAUUUAAUUAGAACACAGACACAGUGACCUAAAUGAACUUUAUAUGUUAGCCUAACGUGGCGUAUACUAAAAUGCAGUCGAACUUCCGCACAUUUCUGUCUAAAUAUUAUCCAUAUAUGUGAUAUUUCUAUUUGUACAGUUUAAAUGGUAAAGAAUGUCCCACUAUUAAAGUGCUGACAAUAUACCCCUGAGUUUAAAAAUCAACUUGAUUUUGGUAACAAAUCGAUAGGAACAAUUAAGAAUUAGUUUUUAUGAAAUUUUCCAAAAAGGUUUCGUCUUAUAAUCUUAAUUUACAAGUAAGUUGUAACUAUUUAAAAAAUUAUUAUAUUAUGAACAAGUUUCUUUGGUAUUUAUUACAGCCUUGAAAAUUGAUGCAAAGUCGUACGUAUAAAAAAGUUCACAAAAUUAAAAAUUCUCCCAUGACUGUUUUCCCCAUGAUUGAAAAAUGCUUUUUUUAUAACAGGAAAUUUUUUUUCGUCAUUUUAACUAUUAAGUCGUGACUAAUCACCAGUUUGAUAAAGACUGAAAGUAGUCGGAAUUUUUAUUUGUCUUUUAAAAAAUUAUAAUAAUAAAAGGUAAUUUUAUAACAGAAGAGAUCUAAAAACGAGACGAUUUAGAAACAAGCUUAUUGAAAAAAGGCGAAAAAAAUUUCAAUUUAAAAAAAUUAUUGUUUAGCUUCGGCGCAUGCAUGUCAUAACAAACGCGCGGAGCCCUAUUUUCAACGUCAAAUUAAAAUUAUAAAUAAUGGAAAUAGAAUUCCGGAAUUCAAAACUUUUUUAUCGGAAAUUUAAACGAGCAUUUUUCAAUAUUAUGUAAAUAUUAAUGUUUUUUCGAGUCAUUGCUCAUAUUUUUUGAAUUUUCAUCUCUAUUUUUCACGUUUUAGAAUUUGUUGACUGGACUAUAAAUAGACUUAACAGUUGGUGUCAAGCUAGAAACAUUUCUACGUUGUUAUUAUCCAUAAAAUUUCAAAUAUUUACGUUUAAAAUAUUUCGAUUUCCAAUGUUUUUUAACCAACACAUUUUUGUAUUUCAUUAAAAAUUUAUUGUUAUAUGUAUAAUCUUAAUAGUAUGUAUAUAGGGCUAACGCAAAUGUAAUGCAGGGUUUGAGCUAAAUAGAAAGUAUAAUUUUUGGCCUCUAGACUCUUAUUUAUUACUGAAUUAUAAGUAGGUAUGUUUAAAUAGUCUCCACGUAUUGUAAGCAAUACGCAUUCUGCUUCUGCAUAAUUGUAGCUAAAUUUCGUUGAUUGGCCUAGAACUAAGAAAUUAGUUCCAAUAAGAAAAGCGCGCGAAGAAAUAGUCUGUUUAAAUUAUCGCACAAUGUUAUUGUCUAUUGGGACAUAUAUUCAAAUUAGUAUUAUUAUUAGAGGGAAAAUGGAGUCCUGGAAGAAAAACGUCAUGGUUGAAAAAUUUACGUCAGUUGUUCGGUCAGACAACUAGUUCACUCUUCCAAGCUGCAGUGAACAAAAUUAUCAUAGCCAACAUAAUCGCCAAUGUCCGAUAACAGAAUCGACAUUAUAAGAAGAAGAUUCAAAUUAUAGACAGAGAACAAGAGUGGCUACCACAUAUAUAAAAGGCAAAAGAGGAAACCUUGUAGGUGACGAAGAAGAAAAAACUAGUAGAUGGAAAGAAUAUUUCGAAGAAACAUUUAAAAUCGAAUUUAAAAAGAACUUAUGAUACUAUAAACAGAAAAAGUUGAGCAAAAUAUUACGAGAAUUAGAAAUUCCAAACAAAUUACUUGAACUAGUUAAAAUGACAUUAGAGGACACAACCAACAUAGUAAAAAUCAAUAACAAGAAAGGUGAACCUUUCAAAAUACAACUAGGAUUAAGACAAGGGGACCCUCUAGCUAUGGUACUAUUUAAUGUACCUUUGGAAAGCAUAAUGAGAAGAGCAAGUGUCAACAUAUAUUUAACAGAAGUCAUCAAUACUGAGCUUAUUCCGAUGAUGUGAUGUUUAUAGCAAGUAACAGAGGAAAGCUUGAAGAAACCACAAAACAACUAAUAACCGCAGCAGAAGAGAUAGGCCUACAUUACAAUAAUGAUAAAACAAAGUUUAUGGAAAUAAAGAGUGAAUUUGGAAGCAAGUCAAAAAACAAUUCAGGUACAUAAACAUGAUGGGACGUUAAUAAAAUUCGAGGAAGUAGAAAAUUGAUACUACAACCACAGGUGAACCUUUCAAACUACAACUAGGAUUAAGACAAGGGGACCCUCUAGCUAUGGUACUAUUUAAUGUACCUUUGGAAAGCAUAAUGAGAAGAACAAGUGUCAACAUAUAUUUAACAGAAGUCAUCAAUACUGAGCUUAUUCCGAUGAUGUGAUGUUUAUAGCAAGUAACAGAAGAAAGCUUGAAGAAACCACAAAACAACUAAUAACCGCAGCAGAAGAGAUAGGCAUACAUUACAAUAAUGAUAAAACAAAGUUUAUGGAAAUAAAGAAUGAAAGUGGAAGCAAGUGAAAAAACAAUUUAGGUACAUAAACAUGAUGGGACUUUAAUAGAAUUUGAGUAAGUAGAAAAUUUUAGUGUAUUGCCAAGAAAAAAAAGAUAUAUCGAACUAAAAAUUGCUAAAAGUAAAAGCUCUGCAGGCAAGCCUUAGAAGAAUAUUAACAUCGAAAGAGAUAUCCAGAUCUAUGAAAGAAUUGAUGAAACAAUUUUGAGACCCACCCUAAUAUACUCGUGUGAAACCUGGAUAAUGACGAAUAAAACUAAACAGCAAUUGGAAAUCUGGGAGAGAAAGAUACUAAGAAGAAUUUUUGAAGAAAAGCAGACAUGAGUCACCAAUAAGUGCAUUUAUAAAGACAAGUAGGCUUAAGUCACUUAGAACGAAUGGACAAAGACACACUCUUGAAACGAGUUGCAUUGAAGAUACCAGAGGGCAAGAGGAAAAGGGGUUGACCAAGUAAAUGGUGGAGGUGAAGUAGUGGAAGAGUACCAUACAGAGAAAAAGAUCGGGAACUGGAGUGAAAAAGCAAGAGAUCGAAAGAAGUGGAAAGAAAUUACAAGGCUAUGGACCUAUAUGGUUUGUAUAUAAACUAUAUACAAAAAUAUUCAAAUUUUAGAAGUUUUAUGAAAGAAUUAGCAUUUAUAAAUAUAACUAAAGAAAAACAGAAAGAUACGAGUCAAAUGCAAGUCUGGUUUGUUUUGUUUACAUUCACGAGACCAUAUGACACGAGAGACUGCUGCCGCGCGCAAGCGUUGACUCCAUUAAUUUCUAGAAAGAAGGGAUCAUAGAGCUCUCUCUUUCUUACAUAUGGGCGUAAUAGUUCAUGUCCAGACUUUCCUAUGCAGGGGCUUUACGUGAAUCGAAAUUAAAACACCAAUUACACUUGACAAAAUAGAAGUAAAUAUCUGCUAACAUAACCUAUUUCACUACAGGUAUCGAUUAUUUCAUUCAAUUGUACGAAAUUAUUCGUAUCACGUUAAUGCGUUUUACUGCAUAAAAUUGCACCUCAAAGCUCAAUUUUUACUAAUUCCAGACUUUGAGCUGUCGUAUUAUUCUAUUUAUAAGGUUAGCUAAGAUUAUUGCAAAAAUUGGCGGCAAAUUCAAAUCUUGCGUUAGUUUUGUUACGCUCUUUAAAAGCACACUAGACUUGUCUGUUAAUUAUAAUCUGAUUAUUUGUGGAAA